GAUGGUGGUGGUGGAUGUGAUCGACUAGAACCCGAGGACUUUGAUGAAGGAGGCGGUGGAGUACUUGUAGUAGGUGAAGGUGGAGACUUUCCGGGCUUAUGGUGAGGAGGUAUGCUUGUCUUCGGUGAAGGUGGAGACUUCUUUCCAGGCUUAUGUUGUGGAGGUUUGCUUCCAGGACUAGUUCCGCCACUUGGAGGUGAAGACGGAGAAGUAGCAGGAGGUGAUCCACCGCUUCCUGGACUAGAUCCGCCUCCUCCUCCUCCUCCACCACCGC
RNAcentral lists this long non-coding RNA (274 nucleotides) under Daucus carota (carrot). RNAcentral describes it as "long non-coding RNA (DCAR_LNC001728)". The record is from RNAcentral. Lineage: Eukaryota; Viridiplantae; Streptophyta; Magnoliopsida; Apiales; Apiaceae.